UUUCAGGUUUGUGAUAUCAUAGAUUGCUAAUUGUAGCAAUAUUCAAACACCCAAAUGAAAAUUGUCAGAAGGAACUCGAGACAAUAAAUAGGCAGUAUCCAUUUGAACCUCUGAAGUACCUAGAGAAAACGUUGAAGCUAACGUACGAGGAAGGGAUUAAAAUGCUCAAGGAUUUCCGAUCCUAGCGGGAAAAGGAGGGAAACGGCGGCGCCCUUGGGCGUCGUUAUCCUUCUUGAAGGCAUCUCGGAAGAGUUCAUCCACUCAUCUCUGGGGUGUGGGCAAGUUGGUGGUAUAGUUUCGAGUUGGCUGAUGUCGGAAUUGUUGUUUCUUUUUUGUUUCUCUUCUUUUUUCGGGGCUUUGCACAAUUUUCCCUUUUAAAUCGCGUGGUUUUCGGCCUUGUUUUCCUCAUAAACAGGGCCAUUCUGUAAUUUUAUUUUCCUCUCUUAAUGAAUUGGGCAAAGCUCCUGCCUUUCUCCUAAAAAAGGCCUUUGUUGGGUAGACAAUACAUCUACAUAUAACAACUGUGCAGACUACAAAUGUUUUCCCCAUUCCUUCCCAAAUUAGAAAAGGUAUAAUUAAGUUCAAUGACAUGUGGGUUUACCAAGGUAACCAAUCAAGCUAAACUGGAUUAGCAUUUUUUUCUACUCCCUCCGUCGUAAAAUAUAAGAGCGUUUUUGACACUAUACUAGAGUCAAAAACACUCUUAUAUUAUGGGACGGAGGGAGUAACUUCUAUGAAUGCCACACAAAUUGUAAUGGUAAUUUCUAUACAUGUGUGUGAUUUUGCAGCAUACCAAUGAAGCCUUAAAAAUAACUUGGAUUGGUAAAAAGUAAAAUUAGACGGUGGGAGCUGUGUUUCAUUCUGGAAUCCUCUAGGCAGGGUGCUUGCAAUCCCCUACAUCUCGGCUGCAACAAAAAAGACCCAACGAGGCUGUUGUUUCAAGCUCAGACCCUCUUCAUUGCACGCGGUGCUAGAAGGAGAACUGGGUUGUGGUGCUGUUGCUGGUCGUUUUCCUUUUUACUUUUGCACUUUGGCCGUCAUAAACGAUACAUGCUUGCUCCCUGGAUGGAUCUCUUUCUCUCCCUGGAUCUUUUAAACAGGUGUUGUGAUUAAAAUUGUGAUAAAUCAGUGUUCAUCACUAUUCUUUUUGGACUUGAAUAGAUCUAUGUCUAAAUUACACAUAAUGUGUAGGAGAAAAUUACUAUA
This is a long non-coding RNA of Triticum aestivum (bread wheat), 1206 nucleotides long. RefSeq lists it as uncharacterized. The record is from RefSeq and is a predicted model, not a curated record. The transcript has 4 exons. Lineage: Eukaryota; Viridiplantae; Streptophyta; Magnoliopsida; Poales; Poaceae.